UUCGGAGGAAAAAAUGGUUUUAUUAUGUAAAAAGAAUUUACUUUAAAAUAUGUAUAAAAUAAGAUAAAGGGGGUUCAUUUGCAAUAUAUAGAAAUGUUUGAGACUUAAUUUACAAUUUUGUUCUGUUUUGAAAUAUUAUUUUGAUUUUUAUUUGAUUAUUUUCGUUUAUUGUUAAACUUCCGGAAUUGAAAAGAUAUAUACUAAUAUAUAUUAAGUAAAAAAGAGCUGUGAUUUUAAAAUGAUUAAUUGAUUAAUAUUUCCCAUCGGGAUUCACACAUUAAUAAACAUCCUUGAUUGAUUAUACAAAUUGUGAUUUUUAAGCGUUAAUAAAGAAUGAAUUGAAACACGUAGUAAGGCAAUUUUUUUAAUAAAUUCGCGGAUUUUCAGAGAAUAUGGGUCGCAAGCAGCAUCAGGCAGAUAAGCUCUGGCUGACUACGCAGGAGUGGAAAUAUUUUUUUGGCGGGAAAAAGCCAGGCAGGAAGGCGGAUCCUGAUGAGGUUGAUUUCAAACGUCUACCGUUUGAUCAUUGUGCACUGAGUUUACAACGGUUUGAGAAUCCAUACAGUGAUGAGGAUGGUAAUGUGUUUGAUCUGGUUCAUAUUAUCCCGUACUUGAAGAAAUUCAAAGCCAAUCCCGUCACAGGCAAACCACUCGACUCAAAAGGCCUGAUUAAACUCAACUAUCAGAAGAACGCUGCAGGAGAAUAUCAUUGCCCAGUUAUGUACAAGGUAUUUAAUCCAAGCACACAUAUUGCUUGCAUAAAAACCACCGGAAAUGUGUUCUGCUACGAGGCUGUUGAAGAACUCAAUAUCAAAACAAAGAAUUUCAAAGAUCUGAUAAAUGAUGAACCAUUCGUUAAAUCAGAUAUUAUCAUUCUGCAGGAUCCUAGAAACAUGACCAAGUUCAACCUGUCCAGUUUCCAUCACGUGAAACACAGUUUAAAGGUGGAUGAUGAUGAGUUAGAGCGCGCUAAAACUGACCCACGCGCGCGGAUGAAGAAGGUCAAUCAUGAAACCAGGGACACCCUGAAUGAACUGGAGAGGACCUACAAGGCCCCUGAAACAGUAGUAUCUGAGAAGGUUAAAGCUGACAUCUUCAAUUCAGCUCAUUACUCAACAGGAUUGAGAGGCGCUAGUUUAACCAGUACUGCAUAUGAUCGAGUCACUGAAACUGAGGCAGCUAUUCUAGAUGAAGAUAUUGUUAAGUACAGACUCGUAAAUAAGAAAGGCUAUGUUAGGAUCAAUACAAACCUAGGACCUCUGAACCUUGAACUGUACUGUGACACUGUACCUAAAACCUGUGAAAACUUCCUGAAACUCUGCGCCAAGGGAUAUUACAACAACACAAUAUUCCAUAGAUCUAUUCGCCACUUCAUGUUACAAGGCGGAGAUCCUACAGGAACUGGUUCAGGCGGAGACUCUCAUUUCGGCGGAACAUUCAAGGAUGAGAUAAAGCCUCAGUAUCAUCAUACAGGACGAGGUGUUCUAUCCAUGGCUAACUCAGGACCAGACUCUAACAAGUCGCAGUUCUUCAUUACCUACAGAUCCUGCAAACAUUUGGAUGGAAAACACACAAUUUUUGGCAAACUUGUGGGAGGUAUGGAUACGUUGACCACUAUUGAAGCUAUUGGAACUGAUAACAAGGAUAAACCUGUGGAGGAUAUCAAGAUCGAACGGGUAGCCGUCUUCGUCGAUCCUUUCCAAGAGGCCGAAGAUCAACUUAAGGAGAUGAGAGAAAAAGAGAUUGAGAAGCUAAAUCUGGAGAAGAACCCUGUAAACAAGGAUAAAACCGAGGAGAGGAAGGUGUUUGGGUCCGGAGUUGGGAAGUAUAUUAACCCUAGUGUGAAGAAGGAAGCAAGAAAAGCUGAGGAGCAGGCCCCGCCAGUAUUCAAGAAACCGAAAACGACUGGAGGAUUCGGGGAUUUCAGUGCAUGGUGAAAACCAGGAAGACAGGCUGCUGUGGCUCAGAGUGAAGAUUACGGACUCCGAGGCUCACGAGUCACACAAAGUCGCUCGUUUUCUAAUAAUAAAGUUAUUCCGUAAAAAAGUUUCAAAAUUAGUUUUAUUUUUUUUUUUGAAAUCUUAUAUUUUGAACACCUUUCCUUGUUUACAGGGACUUCCCUUUGAUGUAAAAAACGUGCAAAAUUUUUUUCUCUAAAAAUCGUAAAAUAAUAUGUUCUUUUAUGCCGCCUCUGUCGAAUGAAAAAGAAAAGACGAUAUCUUAAGUUACUUUCUGAAGAAGAAAAAAAGGAAAUUUAAUUAGUUUGUUCCUAAACGGUUCUGGAUGAGUUUCAAUAUUAAAAUCAGCUUUUAAAAUUAGAUCAAUAUAUAAAAUUUGAUGUA
Molecule: unclassified non-coding RNA, 2342 nt
Filed under: Eurytemora carolleeae
Lineage: Eukaryota; Metazoa; Arthropoda; Copepoda; Calanoida; Temoridae
Description: peptidyl-prolyl cis-trans isomerase-like 2
Source: RNAcentral